UGGGGAAUUUUCCGCAAUGGGCGAAAGCCUGACGGAGCAAGACCGCGUGAGGGAGGAAGGCUCUUGGGUUGUAAACCUCUUUUCUCUGGGAAGCGGUUCGGGCUAAUACCUUGGGCUAAUGACGGUACCUGAAGAAUAAGCACCGGCUAACUAC
This 154-nucleotide ribosomal RNA is filed under the name uncultured bacterium. Its description in RNAcentral is "partial 16S ribosomal RNA". It matches the Rfam family "Bacterial small subunit ribosomal RNA", at positions 355 to 504 of the family's 1533-position model. The record is from RNAcentral.